AUCUGGGAAUUUUUUUUUUUUAAUUCACAACUAUAUUUAAUAAAUAUUUUAAAUUAAAAUCAGUAAAUUGCUAUGAUGAGGUUAAAAGAAAUAAGAGACACGAUUUGAAUUGUACUGUUAUCGAAUAAUUUAUCAAGUUAGCAUGUUAAAGUUUCCACGACAAGUACCCAAAAGUCUGACUACGUGCUAUUAAAGCUAGCUAAUCAUAUAAAUUAAAAUCAGCCAAAACUCAUAGUCAUUUCACAAGUUUCUCU
This is a non-coding RNA of Schizosaccharomyces pombe (fission yeast), 254 nucleotides long. The record is from the annotation of a GenBank genome assembly. Lineage: Eukaryota; Fungi; Ascomycota; Schizosaccharomycetes; Schizosaccharomycetales; Schizosaccharomycetaceae.